CGGACGUGGGUAACCUGCCUCAUACAGGGGAUAGCAGCUGGAAACGGCUGAUAAAACCGCAUAAGCGCACAGCAUCGCAUGAUGCAGUGUGAAAAACUCCGGUGGUAUGAGAUGGACCCGCGUCUGAUUAGCUAGUUGGUGAGGUAACGGCCCACCAAGGCGACGAUCAGUAGCCGGCCUGAGAGGGUGACCGGCCACAUUGGGACUGAGACACGGCCCAA
Molecule: ribosomal RNA, 221 nt
Filed under: uncultured bacterium
Lineage: Bacteria
Description: partial 16S ribosomal RNA
Rfam family: Bacterial small subunit ribosomal RNA
Source: RNAcentral